UACGUAGGGUGCGAGCGUUAAUCGGAAUUACUGGGCGUAAAGCGUGCGCAGGCGGUUCGCCAAGUCAGGUGUGAAAUCCCCGGGCUUAACCUGGGAAUUGCGCUUGAAACUAGCGGGCUUGAGUGCGGCAGAGGGGGGUGGAAUUCCACGUGUAGCAGUGAAAUGCGUAGAUAUGUGGAGGAACACCGAUGGCGAAGGCAGCCCCCUGGGCCUGCACUGACGCUCAUGCACGAAAGCGUGGGGAGCAAACAGG
RNAcentral lists this ribosomal RNA (253 nucleotides) under uncultured bacterium. Its description in RNAcentral is "partial 16S ribosomal RNA". It matches the Rfam family "Bacterial small subunit ribosomal RNA", at positions 524 to 776 of the family's 1533-position model. The record is from RNAcentral.